RNAcentral lists this ribosomal RNA (253 nucleotides) under uncultured bacterium. Its description in RNAcentral is "partial 16S ribosomal RNA". It matches the Rfam family "Bacterial small subunit ribosomal RNA", at positions 524 to 776 of the family's 1533-position model. The record is from RNAcentral.
UACGAGGGGGGCAAGCGUUGUUCGGAUUCAUUGGGCGUAAAGGGUGCGUAGGUGGCGCCAUAAGUCAGGUGUGAAAUCUCGGGGCUCAACCCCGAAACUGCACUUGAUACUGUGGUGCUCGAGUACUGGAGAGGAGAUUGGAAUUUACGGUGUAGCAGUGAAAUGCGUAGAUAUCGUAAGGAAGACCAGUGGCGAAGGCGAAUCUCUGGACAGUUACUGACACUGAGGCACGAAGGCCAGGGGAGCAAACGGG